UAGGGAAUCUUCGGCAAUGGGGGCAACCCUAACCGAGCAACGCCGCGUGAGUGAAGAAGGUUUUCGGAUCGUAAAGCUCUGUUGUAAGAGAAGAACGUGUGUGAGAGUGGAAAGUUCACACAGUGACGGUAACUUACCAGAAAGGGACGGCUAACUACGUGCCAG
This 165-nucleotide ribosomal RNA is filed under the name uncultured bacterium. RNAcentral's name for it is "partial 16S rRNA". It matches the Rfam family "Bacterial small subunit ribosomal RNA", at positions 355 to 511 of the family's 1533-position model. The record is from RNAcentral.